This 16-nucleotide small RNA is filed under the name Arabidopsis thaliana (thale cress). RNAcentral describes it as "ATSL177000". Lineage: Eukaryota; Viridiplantae; Streptophyta; Magnoliopsida; Brassicales; Brassicaceae. The record is from RNAcentral.
AAGGAAGAUAUAAGUA